Molecule: non-coding RNA, 103 nt
Organism: Subdoligranulum sp. 4_3_54A2FAA
Lineage: Bacteria; Bacillati; Bacillota; Clostridia; Eubacteriales; Oscillospiraceae
Source: Rfam
AACAGCAGAGAUAAAAACACAGCGCGGUCGGUAGUCCGCGCGCGGGGUGCAUGCCCUGUCAGUAACCUUCCCUCCCGGGUCGUCCGUUCCCUGCAAGGAUUUU